Molecule: ribosomal RNA, 406 nt
Filed under: uncultured bacterium
Lineage: Bacteria
Description: bacterial SSU rRNA
Rfam family: Bacterial small subunit ribosomal RNA
Source: RNAcentral
UAAAGAAUCUUCCACAAUGGGGGAAACCCUGAUGGAGCGAUACCGCGUGAAUGAUGAAGGUCGAAAGGUUGUAAAGUUCUUUUCUGAGGGAAAAAUUCUGAUUGUACCUCAGGAAUAAGCACCGGCAAACUCCGUGCCAGCAGCCGCGGUAAUACGGAGGGUGCAAGCGUUAUCCGGAAUCAUUGGGCGUAAAGCGUCCGCAAGUGGUUUGUUAAGUUGGAUAUUAAAUCUUGAAGCCCAACUUCAAGGCUGUAUCCAAAACUGGCCGAACUAGAGACUUCUAUAGGUACGUGGAAUUCUGUGUGUAGGGGUAAAAUCCGUAGAUACACAGAGGAACACCAAAAGCGAAGGCAGCGUACUGGAGAAGUUCUGACACUCAUGGACGAAAGCGUGGGGAGCAAACGGG